RNAcentral lists this long non-coding RNA (3523 nucleotides) under Olea europaea subsp. europaea. Lineage: Eukaryota; Viridiplantae; Streptophyta; Magnoliopsida; Lamiales; Oleaceae. The record is from RNAcentral.
UAAAUACUUAAUUAAAUGAAUGGAAAUAAACUAUAUUCAAAUUCAAUUUGCAUUUACACAUUCCAACUACUAACAUUUACUCCUCCCACAUUUGAACUACCAACAUUUACUCACCUCACAUUUCAACUACCAACAUUUACUCACCAACAUCUAUCCUUCGUCCAUUUACAUAAAUAUUCGAACUACUACUGACCUUUAUCCAUUUUCUUUUUGACACGCAUUUUACAAGCUUUCUGCCUAAUCAAGCUUCAUGCGUGAUCGACUACAGCAAAAAGGUAACCUUCAUGUAAUAAAAUAAAUUUAAAAUCUAUUUAUGAAUACUAUUAUGUUAAAAAGUUAUACAAAUGAUAUUCAAAUUUUUUGCAAUUCAAGCUUAAGUCUGUAGUGUCGAGUUCUCCUAUGAUAGUUUAAGGUAGCACACUAAAAUCAUGUUUUACAGUACAACAUGCCCAUAUUAAUUUCCUUUUUUUUUUUUACCUUAAGAAGACGUAGAAGUGUAGCACUCCGCGAUAAAACUGAUCUUCGCAUUUAAAAAAUACUCUCCAACUAUAUUCUAAAUAGGAUCUCAGAUACACUGAUGAUCUGAGUAAAUGAGAUUUAAACAAAAUUUAACAUUCCUUUUAAAAAAAUUAUUUUAAUCCCUUUUGGAUAUAAAAUUUAGGUUUUUCCAAUCUAUCACUUCAAAAAAAUAAAAAUUCAACAGAAUUAAUAUGAUGUAUUUUCUGAGAUCAACUAACACACCUAACGUGGAAAAUUUCAUUUGUCUAUUAAUACUAGAAAAUCUUCUUGUUUAACUAACUAAUUUUUUUACUUAACAUAAUCCUCAAUUACAUUAUACCAUUGUUUUUAUUUGCAUAAUUAACACAAUUAUUAGAAAGCUUUUGACAAGCAUACAUAUCUUCAUUUUAAUUUAUUAAGAUGAUACAUAUUAAUUAAUGACAAUUUUGUUUAAAAAUGAAAAUAAUGAACUCAAUCAAACUUCUCGUUUUUCUAUAUUUUAUACAUGUCUAUGGUUGAUAACUAUCAUUACUCAUCAUUAUUGACUUAUUCCAAUUUCAUAAAUUCUUGUAUAACAUUUUCUUCAAAUAUAUUGCGUAAUUAUUAAAGUUCACAAAUUUUAUUUAUUUAAACUGUAUAUUAAUCAUAGUGCAAAUUAUAUUGUUUCCAUCUAUAUAUUGUACUAUUAAGUUUCAAAUAUGAAAAUGUGAUAAAGUUUCAUAAAAUUGUAACUAGCUAUCCUUUCUAUCACAAUACAUAUACAAUUUCAGAUCAAUGACAAAAAACAAUGCUUCAAGUAGUAUAGAUAUAAUCUUAAAUUUAUUUUUAAUAAAGUUGUAGUAUGUAGCUUCUAAAAAAUUAUGUUAGAUUAGUAUAUGAAUAAAUUUGUUGACUAAUGAAUAGUUUUUUUAAUAAUUUUUGGAGAUGUCGUUAGAAUACAUAUUAUCUCUAAAUCAAUGAUUUUUUGCUACGAUUACUCAAUUUGCAAAUCAUCAAUAUUUUAAAGAUUUUGUAGAACUUAUAGAUGCAGACGAUCAAGCUUAUUUAUUGUGCAGUCCAUUCCAUGGAUUCAUUUGCAGAAGUAUGUAUAAAAAGAAAAAUGAAAAAUUUAGCAGCAAAUUAAUACAUGAGUUCAUAAUGAGACUUAUAAACUGCGGUAAAAAUAACGAAGUUUGGGUACAAUUACACGAUCAUGUAGCCCGUUUUGGCCUGCAAGAAUUUUGUCUAAUCACUGGAUUACCAUGCCAUGAAGUUAUUGUUAAUCUCAAUUUUAGUAAUACUCGACUUAGGGAUGAAUACUUCAAUGGUUCAAGGAGAAUUACUAUGAUAAGACUUUCUGAAGUAUUUUAUAUGUGUCGAGAUCGAGAAGAUAAAUUUAAGUUGGGAUUAGUUAUGUUCGUCGAAUGCGUUUUAAAACCAACUGGAAGACACAUCGAUUUCAGAACUCUUGGAAUACUUGAACAACUUGAUGAGUUCCUUAUGUAUCUAUGGGGACGUAAGACAUACUUUGUUUUAUUAAAUUCAUUACAAGAAUCACAGUUUGAAAGAGUACGAAGAAUACAACAAAAUGACCAAAUAGACUGUAAAUAUUCGUUGCAUGGUUAUCCCCUUGCAUUCCAGGUAUUUUUCUUUCAUUUUUUCACCAUUACAUAUAAUUUAAUCAUAUAAAAACUUUAAUAUUUCUUUUUACUUAUAUUUCAGCAUUGGAUAUAUGAAACUUUUCCUCAAAUUGGACAACAAUUCGGCCAUCGUAUCCGUACAAGCUUAAAAUGUCCACGAAUACAUAAAUGACAGCCUCAAAUAGUAUUAACGGAACAUGUUAUUAGACAAUUUUUGGCUGCUCAAGAGGUAUGUUUAUUUCAAUAUACAAUUAAAUAUAUAUUUAAUUCUUUAUAAAUAAAUUUUAAAAAAUACAUAUGAUAUUUUAUUACAAUUAUAGAUUACAGUAAUUGCAACGCUAAAUCCUACUGAAGCAGAAUUGGAAACAUUUUGGUAUACAAAUCUUUCACUACCAAUUGACAACCAACAUCGUACACUAGACAACAUUGUCAAUAGUGAAUUGGACAAUGUAACAUAAAAAUUCCAGCGGAUAACAUACAUACACAAGAAAGAACUAUCCACUCUUCAGAUGGAAUUGAAUCUACUUAUUCUGGUAGCUCAAACUAUGUAAUUAAACAAUAUAUGGAACAGAUGUUCAAUAUACACAAACAAGAUGUCUUUGGUUUCUACGACAGCUUAAAAACACAGAUGAUUUAAGAAUCAACAAAGCAAGAAGCUCUCUGUUAGACAAUUCUUGACAAUCAGAAACAAUUUUUUGAACAUCAGCAAAAAGACCAACAAGACUACUUCUAGGGCAUACAAUCUAACAUUCAAUCUUAUGUGGAUACCAGUUUCGAUUUAACGAAGUCUUACAUUGAUGAACAAAAUCGAAAUAUGCAGAAUCAGUUAUCGACUGAAAAUCACACAUGGAAACAAUUGUAGCCUCUGUACAACGAGAUGUGCCUCCUCAUACAAAGCCAGUUGAAUUCGGAAUCCCUUCAACAUUUGAACAUACAGAAAACGUUGAAAGAUCGACGAAAUAAAAAAAAGGCAAGCAGAAACAGACACAAUCUCCAUCGACAACGCCGACUAAUAUUUUAGAAGACUAUAACAUCAACAUGUACAAAAACAUUAGAGAAUGGAUAUCACAAAAUUCAUCAGAGUAAGAUAUUUAAUUUAACCUCGUUAACUUAAAUAUUCUAAUUUGUAUUUUACUUAUUUGACAACAAUUUAAUUUUUUUUAUACAGCGCAUACUGGAAAGAUGAAAUCGGCAAUCUAUACGGAAGACAAUCGUUGAUAAAUAUAAUAAAUCAAACGAAAGAUAUAAAUAUUGUGGUAAGUCAACUUUAGUAAUCAUAAUUAAUUAUACUCCAUUAUUAAUAUAUCUAAUUUACAUUUUUUUUACUAGUAUAUUGAUAUAGAAUUAAAGCUGUUGAGAAUACUUAUUCACGAUGGAUCUUCCCCGCUUUCUAAAGAAUAUGCAAU